UCAGGCCUAACACAUGCAAGUCGAACGAAGUAGCAAUACUUAGUGGCAGACGGGUGAGUAACAUGUAGGUAUCUGCCCUUUGGCCUGGAAUAACACGAGGAAACUUGUGCUAAUACCGGAUAAGUCUUUACGGAGAAAGCUUUAUGCACCAUUGGAUGAGCCUGCACUUGAUUAGUUUGUUGGUGGGGUAAUGGCCUACCAAGACUGUGAUCAAUAGCUGAUUUGAGAGGAUGAUCAGCCACAUUGGGACUGAGACACGGCCCAAACUCCUACGGGAGGCAGCAGUGGGGAAUCUUGCACAAUGGAGGAAACUCUGAUGCAGCGAUGCCGCGUGAGUGAAGAAGGCCUUUGGGUUGUAAAGCUCUUUCGUCGGGGAAGAAAAUGACUGUACCCGAAUAAGAAGGUCCGGCUAACUUCGUGCCAGCAGCCGCGGUAAUACGAAGGGACCUAGCGUAGUUCGGAAUUACUGGGCUUAAAGAGUUCGUAGGUGGUUGAAAAAGUUAGUGGUGAAAUCCCAGAGCUUAACUCUGGAACUGCCAUUAAAACUUUUCAGCUAGAGUAUGAUAGAGGAAAGCAGAAUUUCUAGUGUAGAGGUGAAAUUCGUAGAUAUUAGAAAGAAUACCAAUUGCGAAGGCAGCUUUCUGGAUCAUUACUGACACUGAGGAACGAAAGCAUGGGUAGCGAAGAGGAUUAGAUACCC
RNAcentral lists this ribosomal RNA (700 nucleotides) under uncultured bacterium. RNAcentral describes it as "bacterial SSU rRNA". It matches the Rfam family "Bacterial small subunit ribosomal RNA", at positions 42 to 787 of the family's 1533-position model. The record is from RNAcentral.